Molecule: long non-coding RNA, 1319 nt
Filed under: Anser brachyrhynchus (Pink-footed goose)
Lineage: Eukaryota; Metazoa; Chordata; Aves; Anseriformes; Anatidae
Description: lncRNA (ENSABRG00000004025.1)
Source: RNAcentral
GCAGCCAACGUUCUUGAUGUUAGGAGAAAGCAGAAAAUUUUCAAGGAACUGAGAGCCAGAAGGCUAAACCUGGGAAGAAUGCUCCAGGGAAGCUUUGCCAGGUGGGAGGCACCAGCAGUGCUCUGAAGCAACCACCUACUUCUUGAAGGAUGGGGAUGAACCAGUGAACCAAGUCAAUGCUCCCCAUUAGAUUGCUCCAUCUUCUCGCUGGUUAUGGGGAUUACUGCAAGGCUGCAACCACUGUGACACUGCUGCUGUGAUGUGAUAUAGUCUGCAUGCCUGGGCCACACCUAAAUUCUUGGUGAACCAGAAGAAGCUCAAGAGCCUUGAAUUUGUGAUCCCUCAUCCAGUUGAUUUCUGUACCAAAAUUUGCCCUUUGAGUUCCAAGCAAAAUAAAAUAUUCACUUUAGCUUUGUAAUUUAACAACAGGGCUGGAACCUUAUCUUUUUAUGUCAAAAAUACUUCUAAAGGUAAUGACAUUUCAAUUGUUCCUCUGAAGCACUUUGGGUCCAUAAGAGCCAGCUGAAGCUAUGAUAUUCUGUGCAUGUGCAUGUACACGUGUAUGCACACAGCUUACAGCAAUGAGAAGAAAUUAGAUAUAGAGAGUUAGGUUUGAGUUACCCUUGAAUGGAGAAUGGGAGAUAAAAACAACAGCAAUGCUGCCAUUCUCAAGUGUUUGCUAUUCAAAAGCUAGGAAAUCAACCCCGAGUCAAAAGUUUAAAUAAAAAAGAGAUUCUAUCUAUUUGGAUUCCAGUUUUAAACUAUGGAGUUGUACAUUUCCAAGUUUUUUUCAGCAACAUUGAGAGUGGUAUGGCAAAUACAUAUUUUGUUUUAAAAAUAAUUUUAUUUCUGUGAAAGAAAUUUCUUCUAGGAUAUCUGAUGAACCCUAGCCAGGUCCUUGGUGGCAAAUCCCUUGUCUUUUUUCUACAUUGCACUUCUGGGUCAUCGACCAACUUGUUUCUAUAUAAAAAAAAAUGUGACUGGAAUUUGCAGAUUGCAAGAAUGACAGAUGUAGAGACUUUCAUAAACUGAUGAGUCCAUUAUGGAAUUAUAUCGUUAACUCACGUGCAAAACUAAUUGUAUGAAGAAUGUUUAUGCUGCAGUUGUUUGAGAAGAACAAUGGUGAGUUAAAAGCUUUUUGUCUUUUUUUUUUUAAUCCAGUGAUGCUUUAUGCUAUAUGAACUCAUCACUAGAGACAUCAAAAAUCUUUAAAAAUUGAGUUACACAGGUAACAUGACCAGGAUGUGCCCAGAAAUCUAAUGUUUGAUUUAUUUAUUUUUAAUUAGUAAGUGCUUUGUGUAGUGCAGAGAAACAAACCG